Molecule: long non-coding RNA, 1381 nt
Filed under: Sus scrofa (pig)
Lineage: Eukaryota; Metazoa; Chordata; Mammalia; Artiodactyla; Suidae
Description: lncRNA (ENSSSCG00005034181.1)
Source: RNAcentral
UCCCCUGACUCCCCAGUCUGGGGCUGGUCAUGGGGCCUUCCUGGCCGGCAGAUCCUGAGCCCGGCUCUCCCUCUGGGGCCGGCUGCCCCCUCCCCAGCUGCCUGUGUCCCCACCCCUGCAGACAGAGGUUCCCGGGAACGCCACCUCGGCCACUCUGGGCCCCCUGUCCUCCUCCACCACGUACACAGUCCGUGUCACCUGCCUGUACCCCGGGGGCAGCUCCUCCACACUGACCGGCCGCCUGACCACACGGAAAGUCCCCAGCCCGAGCCAGCUGUCAGUGACAGAGCUGCCCGGGGACGAGGUCCGGCUGGCGUGGGCGGCCGCAGCGGCGUCGGGGGUGCUUCUCUACCAGAUCACGUGGACGCCCCUGGGAGACGGGAAGGCCCAUGAGGGCUCUGUCCCAGGGAACUUGGGCGCGGCCGUGCUGCGCGGCCUGGGGAGGCUCUCGGAGUACGACAUCACCGUGCUGGCCUACUACAGGGACGGGGCCCGCAGCGACCCCGUGUCCCUCCGCUACACCCCCCGUAGGUGACCCUGCUCUGCCCCGGGUCCCCAGCUCCGUGGGCCCAGGACCCCAGACUCCCAAGACGGCCCGUGGGCAGCUCCCCGCGUCUCGGACCCCGCACCUGACGGCUCGGGUCCCUGGGAGGCCCCCCAGCACCGAGCCCUCCAGCCAGGCAUCCCCGGGGUGGCCGAGGGUCCCAGUCAUCUGGGGUGACAUAGGUCCAAAGACAGUCCUGGAACUCGCCUGGUGGCCAUCCGUGCCGAGGCCACUGGGCAGUGUGGCCUGGGGUGCGUGGUGAGGGCUGUGGAGUGGUGGGGGUGGUGCCAUCUGAGGCCCCCACCCCCGUGCUCUCCCCACAGUCAGCCAGAGCCCGCCAUCCAACCUGGCCUUGGCCUCUGAGUCACCCACCAGCCUGCGGGUCAGCUGGACGCCCCCGAGCGGCCCUGUCCUCCACUACCGGCUCACCUACGCGCUGGCCUCAGGCUUGGGGCCCGAGAAAUCGGUGGGUCUCAGGAGCCAGGAAGCUGUCGCCCUUUGCCUACCCCUGGGCCCACCCUGUCUGUCGAGGGGCCCACUCUUCCGUGGGCCGGACACACGGAGAGGGAGCUGAGAGGCCCAAGUGAGCAAAGAUGCUCAGGGGACCCCCCCCCGCCCCCAGAUCUCCGUUCCAGGACCCAGGAGCCACGUGACACUGCCUGACCUGCUGGCAGCCACCAAGUACAGGGUCCUGGUCUCAGCCGUCUACAGAGCAGGGGAGAGCAUGGCCGUGUCUGCCACGGGCCGGACGGGUGAGUGGGCACCACGCUCCCAGCCCCCGGUGGAUCCCCAGGAGCAGAGCUGGCGGGGAUGCUCAGCAGGACCCCGUGUGCAGCC